GACGAAGGGGGGCUAGCGUUGCUCGGGAAUCACUGGGCGUAAAGCGCACGUAGGCGGCUUUUUAAGUCAGAGGUGAAAUCCUGGAGCUCAACUCCAGAACUGCCUUUGAUACUGGAGAGCUUGAGUCCGGGAGAGGUGAGUGGAACUGCGAGUGUAGAGGUGAAAUUCGUAGAUAUUCGCAAGAACACCAGUGGCGAAGGCGGCUCACUGGCCCGGUACUGACGCUGAGGUGCG
This 234-nucleotide ribosomal RNA is filed under the name uncultured bacterium. RNAcentral describes it as "partial 16S ribosomal RNA". It matches the Rfam family "Bacterial small subunit ribosomal RNA", at positions 524 to 755 of the family's 1533-position model. The record is from RNAcentral.